Molecule: transfer RNA, 65 nt
Filed under: Goliathus goliatus
Lineage: Eukaryota; Metazoa; Arthropoda; Insecta; Coleoptera; Scarabaeidae
Also listed under: 1 other name
Description: tRNA-Leu
Source: RNAcentral
UCUAAUAUGGCAGACUAGUGCAUUGGAUUUAAACCCCAAUUAUAAAGAUUGCUCUUUUUUUAGAA